RNAcentral lists this ribosomal RNA (1752 nucleotides) under Triticum aestivum (bread wheat). RNAcentral's name for it is "partial small subunit ribosomal RNA". Lineage: Eukaryota; Viridiplantae; Streptophyta; Magnoliopsida; Poales; Poaceae. The record is from RNAcentral.
AUGUCCUCCUCACGCGUCCUCCUCUCGAGCCCGCACGGGGUUGCGAGCCGGACCUUCACGAGAGCGGCGCCGGCCCACCUCGCCGCGCCCUCGAUCCCGUUCGCGCGCUCCGGCACUCUCCGCGCCCGGACCGCGAUCCUGUCGUCGCCGGCGGCCACUGUGCCGGUGACCUCUACUGAGCCGAAGCGCCGGAUCUCGCGCUCCGUGUCGGACUCGGCGCCGCGGGCGAAGCCUGCGGUCCUGGUGGCGGAGAAGCUGGGCGAGGCCGGGCUGGACGUGCUGCGUCAGUUCGCCGACGUGGAGUGCGCGUACGGCAUGUCCCCGGCCGAGCUCCUGGCCAAGGUGGCGCAGUUCGACGCUCUCAUCGUGCGGAGCGGCACCAAGGUGACGAGGGAGGUGCUGGAGGCGGGGCGCGGGCGGCUGCGGGUGGUCGGCCGGGCCGGCGUCGGGAUAGACAACGUGGACCUGCAGGCGGCGACGGAGGCGGGGUGCCUCGUCGUGAACGCCCCCACGGCCAACACCGUCGCCGCGGCGGAGCACGGCAUCGCGCUGCUCGCCUGCAUGGCCCGCAACGUCUCGCAGGCGGACGCCGCGCUCAAGGCCGGCAAAUGGCAAAGAGCCAAGUACGUUGGAGUUUCCCUAGUUGGAAAGACUCUUGCCAUCAUGGGCUUUGGAAAGGUUGGCUCAGAGGUGGCAAGGCGAGCGAAAGGGCUAGGGAUGCAUGUGAUUGCCCAUGACCCCUAUGCCCCGGCCGAUAAGGCCCGUGCCAUUGGAGCAGAGCUGGUGUCCUUCGAGGAGGCCAUCGCCAAGGCAGACUUCAUCUCCCUCCACAUGCCGCUCACCCCGGCGACAUCCAAGGUCUUCAACGACGAAUCCUUCGGGAAGAUGAAGACCGGCGUGCGGAUCGUCAAUGUGGCCAGGGGCGGAGUGAUCGAUGAGGAUGCUCUGGUCAGGGCACUGGACUCCGGCAAAGUUGCUCAGGAAGGCGUCGCCAUCGAAAUUGCUGAAGCCGUCGGCGGCGCACUGAGAGGUGAGCUCGCAGCGACCGCCGUGAAUGCUCCCAUGGUCCCAGCAGAGGUCAUGUCAGAGCUAGCUCCGUAUGUUUCCCUGGCGGAGAAGCUGGGGAGGCUGGCAGUGCAGCUCGUCGCCGGGGAGAGCGGCAUCAAGGGCGUCAAGGUGGUGUACACCUCAGCCAGGGACCCCGACGACCUCGACACGAGGCUCCUCCGGGCGAUGAUCACCAAGGGCAUCGUGGAGCCCGUGUCCAGCACCUUCGUCAACCUCGUGAACGCGGACUACACGGCGAAGCAGCGCGGCCUGCGCAUCGCCGAGGAGCGGGUCUCCCACGACAACGCCGCCGCCGAGGCGCCGCUGGAGUCCAUCCAGGUGCGCCUUUCGCACGUGCAGUCCAGGUUCGCCGGGGCGAUCAGCGACGGCGGGGACAUCGUCGUGGUCGGCAGGGUCAAGUACGGCGUGCCCCACCUGACCGUCGUCGGGGCCUACGAGGUCGACGUCAGCCUGGAGGGGAACCUGAUCCUGUGCCGGCAGGUCGACCAGCCCGGGAUGAUCGGCAAGGUCGGGAACAUCCUCGGGGAGAAGAACGUGAACGUCAGCUUCAUGAGCGUCGGCCGCACCUCCCGUGGCAAGCAGGCGAUCAUGGCCAUCGGCGUGGACGAGGAGCCGGACAAGAAGACGCUCGAGAAGAUUGGGGCCAUCCCGGCCGUCGAGGAGUUUGUGUUCCUCGAGCUAUGA